GAUGAACGCUGGCGGCGUGCCUAAUACAUGCAAGUCGAGCGAACGGACGAGACGCUUGCUUCUCUGAUGUUAGCGGCGGACGGGUGUGUAACACGUGGAUCCCCUCCCUAUCAGACUGGGAUAACCUCGGGAAACCGGCUCUAAUCCCGGAUAAUCUUUUGCACCGCAUGGUUCAAAAGUGAAAGACGGUCUUGCUGUCACUUAUAGCUGGAUCCGCGCUGCAUUAGCUAGUUGGUAAGGUAACGGCUUACCAAGGCAACGAUGCAUAGCCGACCUGAGAGGGGGAUCGGCCACACGGGAACUGAGACACGGACCAGAGGACUACGGGAGGCAGCAGUAGGGAAUCGUCCGCAAUGGGCGAAAGCCUGACGGAGCAACGCCGCGUGAGUGAUGAAGGUCUUCGGAGCGGAAAACUCUGUUAUGAGGGAAGAACAGAUGUGUAAGUAACUGUGCACAGCGUGACGGUACCGAAUCAGAAAGCCACGGCUAACUACGUG
RNAcentral lists this ribosomal RNA (497 nucleotides) under uncultured bacterium. RNAcentral's name for it is "partial 16S ribosomal RNA". It matches the Rfam family "Bacterial small subunit ribosomal RNA", at positions 28 to 507 of the family's 1533-position model. The record is from RNAcentral.